Molecule: ribosomal RNA, 373 nt
Filed under: uncultured Glomeromycotina
Lineage: Eukaryota; Fungi; Glomeromycota
Description: LSU rRNA
Source: RNAcentral
UUGAAAGGGAAACGAUUGAAGUCAGUCGUACCUUCGGGUAAUCAGCCUUUCGGGUGCGAUUCUGUGGAGCGUGGGGAGUUAAACGCCUUCAUGCCUGCAUAUUCGUGCGCUUUGGGUGUACUUGUCCGUAUGGUAGGUUAACAUCAAUUUUGGUCGUUAUAAAAUGACUAGGGGAAUGUAGCUUUGAUCCCGUAUUGAAGUGUUAUAGCCUCUGGUAAAUGCAGUGACUAGGAUUGAGGAUUGCAACGGAUACCUUUCGGGGCUACUCGUCUGAUCUCUGGAAGUUACUUUGGUGCUAAAAGCUUGCUUAUGGUUAUCGAAGUUGACGGUCAAUAGGUUAGAACGAGUUAAAUUCGUUAAGGAUGUUGACGUA